Molecule: long non-coding RNA, 897 nt
Filed under: Theobroma cacao (cacao)
Lineage: Eukaryota; Viridiplantae; Streptophyta; Magnoliopsida; Malvales; Malvaceae
Description: long non-coding RNA (TCAC_LNC003427)
Source: RNAcentral
AAUGAAGUAAGUUUCUCGAUUUUGUACUGUGUUAAGGUGGUGAGUCCUCCAAUAAAGGCAGGGGAAUUGCACCCGAGGACUAGUAAUCUGAGUACUUCAAAAAUCCCCAUUCUAGACAUUGUGAGUAACCUUAUCAUCAUUUUAAUUAUCUAAAGUAUGUUUUAACUCGGUUUUGGUGAAAUUUUAUGAAAAUGAGUUAAAUGACAAAUUUUAGGUUUUAUAAACAAAAAUGUGUUUAAAUGAAAAGAUUUUAUAAAUUGUCUUGAAACGAAAUAACGAUUUUGAAAAUAAAGCAAUUGGAGACCACCGGUAUGUUGUAAAUUUAUGAUUGGAAAUUGAUGGCUUAUGUUAUAUUGUUAUUGUGUUGGCAUGACUGGCUGGGCUGUGUUUUUGAAUUGUAUGAAUUGUUUAUUUUACCCUUACAAGCUGGGUAGUAAAAUAUUAACCCUGUCAUGCUGUCAAAAUUUUAUUGUAUGGUGGGUUUAGCUUGCUGCAGUAGGCAGAUUCUGUGGACCAGCCUAUUAGAGGAGCACAGAAUUCAAAUAUAUAUAUAGGUACCUCGGUCAGAGAGGCUCGUAGGGUAUCUCUUGAGGUAUAGUUAGAGUUCACGUCACGCCAAAUCACCUCGUGAUGAUGAACUUCGCUAACGCCAAGGAACGGCUGUGUUUUUCAAACUAAUAAUUUGUUUACGUGUAUACGAAAUUUUUAAUAGCCUUGGCGGACUCGGUUAGAUGCCUCGGCCAAGGUAUCCCCGAGAAUGAUUUUGGGAGGAGCCAAGCUUUUAAAAUACUCAUAAGUCAUGUUGAUUAUUUAAAUGAAAUGAGUAUUUAUGUUAUGAAAAACAUAUUUAAAUAAAAUAUUUUAAUAGUCUCCUUUUACUCGACUUUAGAUCUUGUG